This 253-nucleotide ribosomal RNA is filed under the name uncultured bacterium. Its description in RNAcentral is "partial 16S ribosomal RNA". It matches the Rfam family "Bacterial small subunit ribosomal RNA", at positions 524 to 776 of the family's 1533-position model. The record is from RNAcentral.
UACAGAGGGGGCAAGCGUUGUUCGGAAUUACUGGGCGUAAAGGGCGCGUAGGUGGCCUUCUAAGUUGAACGUGAAAUCCCUGGGCUCAACCCAGGAACUGCGUCCAAGACUGGGAGGCUUGAAUCCGGGAGAGGGAUGCGGAAUUCCAGGUGUAGCGGUGAAAUGUGUAGAUAUCUGGAGGAACACCGGUGGCGAAGGCGGCAUCCUGGACCGGUAUUGACACUGAGGCGCGAAAGCCAGGGGAGCAAACGGG